RNAcentral lists this ribosomal RNA (486 nucleotides) under uncultured bacterium. RNAcentral's name for it is "bacterial SSU rRNA". It matches the Rfam family "Bacterial small subunit ribosomal RNA", at positions 28 to 507 of the family's 1533-position model. The record is from RNAcentral.
GAUGAACGCUAGCGGCAGGCUUAACACAUGCAAGUCGAGGGGCAACACGGGUAGCAAUACCUGGUGGCGACCGGCGCAAGGGUGCGUAACGCGUGAGCAACAUGCCCUAUACAGGGGGAUAAUCCAGGGAAACUUGGUCUAAUAUCCCAUAGUAUUUAGAGGUGGCAUCACCACUAAAUUAAAGCUUCGGUGGUAUAGGAUUGGCUCGCGUGACAUUAGCUGGAUGGUGGGGUAACGGCUCACCAUGGCGAUGAUGUCUAGGGGUUCUGAGAGGAAGACCCCCCACACUGGGACUGAGACACGGCCCAGACUCCUACGGGAGGCAGCAGUGAGGAAUAUUGGACAAUGGAUGGAAAUCUGAUCCAGCCAUGCCGCGUGCAGGAAGACGGCCCUAUGGGGUUGUAAAACUGCUUUUAUAUGGGAGCAAUAAGGUUUACGCGUAGACCGAUGAGAGUACCAUAUGAAUAAGCAUCGGCUAACUCCGUG